Molecule: long non-coding RNA, 2962 nt
Filed under: Podarcis lilfordi (Lilford's wall lizard)
Lineage: Eukaryota; Metazoa; Chordata; Lepidosauria; Squamata; Lacertidae
Source: RNAcentral
GGACUUCCGGGGGGCGGCGCGAACGGUAAUGGCGGUCUUCUCCCGACCGGAGAAGAAGCUCCGCUGAAACCGGGUCGUCCGCUACGGCGAAGCGGAGACCCAACGAGAAAAACCCCAGGCAGCAAGAGCCUGGGGUCCUGAGGCUCGGCGGGCGCCAAGAGCAGCCCUCCAACUGCAGAAGGAGCCUCGUAAGAGGCUCCGGAGCGUGGAGGGGGGCUGCGGCGCUGUGAGCCGUUUCACAGUCAGCGGAGUGAAGCCGCGCUGCUGCUGCCGGUGAGCGCUGAUCCCUUUUCCUGUUAAAAUUCGGAUCUGGAAGAAAACAACUUACUCGUGAGUAAAGACUGAAUCACUUGGAAUUACAAAUUUUAAAUGAGAAGGUUUAAAUUGACUUGAAUUUGGCUGAAAGCGGAGAGACGUGGAAACAGGAAGUCCGUCUUCCGCUGCCAUUGAACUUGAAAAAAAAAAGCAACUAAAGUGGAGGAGUGGAGGCUGAAAGAAAGAGAUUUUAAACUCUACACAGCCAAGCAUCUAUGGAACUUACAAUUUAAAGUAAAAUUAGCAAGUUAAAGAUUUGGACCUUUUAUUUGCACUUGACUUUCCCCUUUUAUUGGAUUACAAAUUGGAAGGUGUAACCCAGAGUCAGGAUUGCUUGAGCACUGUAACAGUGGGCUGUCAGUGUUUGACUUGGAUACUGUAUAUCAGAAGUUGCAACAAUCUGAGGGUAUUGAGACCUUUUAAAUUUGAAACAUUCUUUUUGGAGACAAAUAAGCACUGUCUGCAACAAAGUGAUUACUUUUAAACUCUGCUUAAUACUUAUAUUGGAAGGUUCUGGGACAUUAAAUCAGACUCUGAAAAGACACUUUAAGCUCCCUCUAGAGGAUUGGAUUAAAACAGUGACUUUAUAAAAACAUUUACUUUCGAUUCUCUUGUUGUCUGCAUGCUCUGGGCCUCUCUAUUCCUGUGGGAAAAACUCAGUGUGACCUUGACUGAUAGAUAACAUUGGAAUGAGUGGUACAAGAAGAAGAGGAAGAGUUAGACAAACAACUCUAACAAAUCUAACCUCAGCCUCGCAGACACGUAGAUCAUCUGUGCCUACUUUGCCCUCAGAAGUACAACUUGAAGAAGCUGCCUUGCUACAGGCAAAAGAGGGAGAGGGUGAAGUAGAGCAGUUACAAUUGGAAGAUAUGGCCUCAGGAGCAUCUGUUUCUGUGCUAGAAAAAAUCUUUGAAAAAUUGGAAGCUUUGGACAAGAAAGUAGAUGCGCAAUCAGCAAAGAUUGAUAAAAAUACAGAUUGUCUAAACAAAUUAACUACACAGGUGGGACAGAAUACACAAGCAAUUGGACAGUUGACGGAGGCCUCAGUAGAAAACCGAAAAUUGGCUGAGGAUACCAGACAAAAAUUGGAAAAUUUAGAGCAAGAGGUAAGACCACUCACUAAACAAGUUGGGGAACAUCAGACUUAUCUUUCUAUGAUAGAACUGCGAAAUCGUGAGAAUAAUUUGAGGAUUAGAUCAUUACAAGAGGCAGAAGAAGGAAAUCUAACUGAGUUUUUGACCAAAGAACUUUCCAAGUUCUGGAAUUUGGAAGAAAAGGACUUUAAAAUUGUGUCAGCUUUCAGACUUGGAAGAUUUAUAAAGAAGGAGAGGCCCAGGGAUUGUUUGAUUACAUUGAGAUCGAAGGAGGAAAGGGAUAAGAUUUUGGGCCUACAUUACGAAAAGUCACUGGAAGUUUUGGAUAGAAGAAUUGAGAUAUAUAAAGAUAUCCCAAGACAACUGUUGGACCUUAGAGCCGCCUAUUCUGAACUUGCUAAACUAUUAAGGAGCAACGCAAUUCCAUUCAGGUGGGAUUUUCCCCAAGGAUUAUCUUUUACCUUUAGAGCGAGAAAGGUUAAAAUUAGAACAUUGGAAGAGAGAGAUAAAUUUUUGGCUACACACGGAGAGGACCUACAUAAAGGAAUUGAACUACCUUCCGGGCCUGAGGCAAAGCCAGCAUCAAUACCUCCACCUCGGGAACUUGAAGAUCAAGAGAAGACACCACCCCAGGAGAAAUAACCAGAUAGAUCCAGGAUGUCUCUGCAACUGUUGAGCUGGAAUAUUAAUGGUUGCAAUAUUCCGGAGAAAAGGAAGAAAAUAUUUCAUAUAUUAAAAAAAGAACAAUUGGACAUUAUUUGCUUACAAGAAACACAUGUGACGAGGCUCCACAGAAAAGUGUUAAUAAAUAAAAGAUUGGGCCAGGAAUUUAUUUCGUCGGAUAAAGUGAAGAAGAGAGGAGUGGUGAUAUAUGCAAAAGAGAGCCUGUCACCUAAAUUUCUAUUUAAAGAUGAGCAUGGAAGGAUUUUGGCUAUUGAGAUACAAUAUCAAGGAGAGAAACUGCUGAUAUUAGGAAUCUAUGCGCCUAAUGAAGGGAAAUCGGAAUUUUACAAGAAGUUGCAGGGGACAAUGCUGGAUCAUCUGGAUUACAACAACAUCAUAAUGAUGGGAGACAUGAACGGGGUCGUGUCAACUAACAUGGACAAGUCGCAAAGUCAAAACAUCACAAAAGAUGGCAGACUACCUAAAACCUUUUUGAAAUGACUGACAAUAUGGACUUGAUCGACAUUUGGAGAACAAAGAACCCACUAGGUAGAGAAGGAACAUUCUUUUCUGAAGCCCAACUGACCUGGACAAGAAUCGACCAAAUAUGGAUCUCUAGAGGCCUGGCACCUAGGGUUAGAAAAGUGGAAAUCUGCCCAAAGACCUGUUCUGACCACAACGCAGUAAAGAUGGACAUGACACUACUACCAACUGGAUCCUUUAGAUGGAAGAUGAAUGACAAUUUGUUUAGAGAUCAGGAAAUUACCAAGAAGGCCCAAAAGUUUUGAAAGAUUAUUUUGAGAUAAAUAUGAACAAUUCGGUGGAAAAAGAAUCGUCUGGGACGCAAGCAAAGCUGUUAUGAGGGGAUUCCUGAUACAACAGAAUGUAGU